AGGGCUAUUUUCAUGGAAAAAUACAUGGAUCAGAUUCUUGCUUCCCUAUGAAGGUGGUAGUGCUUGAGAGGUUGAUCAGAGCAAAAGUGAAAAGUCAAUAUUUUGCCAAAAUCAGGAAGAUUGUUUGGAUGUGCUACCGAAGACCCAUAAAGAACUUUAAGUUUAAAUUUUCCUCAAAAUGGUGGGGGUAUGUACAUGUAUAUUGUAUAUAGUAGGACUGCUGGCAUGUUGAAAUAGCAAGUAUGGAUGAGAAUGUUAAUAUCACUGCUAAACUAAGUUAUGGACAAAUCUGAAUGAAAUGUUAAAUUCUAGCUGAGAUGUUUGACA
This is a long non-coding RNA of Carya illinoinensis, 327 nucleotides long. RefSeq lists it as uncharacterized. The transcript is spliced from 2 exons. The record is from RefSeq and is a predicted model, not a curated record. NCBI's taxonomy places the organism in Eukaryota, Viridiplantae, Streptophyta, Magnoliopsida, Fagales, Juglandaceae.